CACACGACUCUCGGCAACGGAUAUCUCGGCUCUCGCAUCGAUGAAGAACGUAGCGAAAUGCGAUACCUGGUGUGAAUUGCAGAAUCCCGCGAACCAUCGAGUCUUUGAACGCAAGUUGCGCCCGAGGCCGCUUGGCUGAGGGCACGCCUGCCUGGGCGUCACG
Molecule: ribosomal RNA, 163 nt
Filed under: Pseudobromus africanus
Lineage: Eukaryota; Viridiplantae; Streptophyta; Magnoliopsida; Poales; Poaceae
Description: 5.8S ribosomal RNA
Rfam family: 5.8S ribosomal RNA
About the family: 5.8S ribosomal RNA (5.8S rRNA) is a component of the large subunit of the eukaryotic ribosome.
Source: RNAcentral